This 864-nucleotide ribosomal RNA is filed under the name Toxicocladosporium sp. SF-5699. Its description in RNAcentral is "eukaryotic LSU rRNA". It matches the Rfam family "Eukaryotic large subunit ribosomal RNA", at positions 49 to 936 of the family's 3401-position model. The record is from RNAcentral. Lineage: Eukaryota; Fungi; Ascomycota; Dothideomycetes; Cladosporiales; Cladosporiaceae.
AGCGGAGGAAAAGAAACCAACACGGAUUGCCCUAGUAACGGCGAGUGAAGCGGCAACAGCUCAAAUAUGAAAUCUGGCGCGUCUCGCGUCUGAGUUGUAAUUUGUAGAGGAUGCUUCUGGGCAGCCACCGGUGUAAGUUCUCUGGAACAGGACGUCAUAGAGGGUGAGAAUCCCGUAUGCGACCGGAGAGGCGCCCUAUACGUAGCUCUUUUGACGAGUCGAGUUGUUUGGGAAUGCAGCUCUAAAUGGGAGGUAAAUUUCUUCUAAAGCUAAAUAUUGGCCAGAGACCGAUAGCGCACAAGUAGAGUGAUCGAAAGAUGAAAAGCACUUUGGAAAGAGAGUUAAAAAGCACGUGAAAUUGUUGAAAGGGAAGGGAUUGCAACCCGACUUGCUCGCGGUGUUCCGCCGGUCUUUUGACCGGUCUACUCGCCGCGUUGCAGGCCAGCAUCUUCUGGGGCCGCCGGAUAAGACUUUGGGAAAGUAGCUCCCUCGGGAGUGUUAUAGCCCUUUGUGUGAUGCGGCGCGUCCCGGGCGAGGUCCGCGCUUCGGCUAGGAUGCUGGCGUAAUGGUCGUAAUCCGCCCGUCUUGAAACACGGACCAAGGAGUCUAACAUCUAUGCGAGUGUUCGGGUGUCAAACCCCUACGCGUAAUGAAAGUGAACGGAGGUGGGAACCGCAAGGUGCACCAUCGACCGAUCCUGAUGUCUUCGGAUGGAUUUGAGUAAGAGCAUAGCUGUUGGGACCCGAAAGAUGGUGAACUAUGCCUGAAUAGGGUGAAGCCAGAGGAAACUCUGGUGGAGGCUCGCAGCGGUUCUGACGUGCAAAUCGAUCGUCAAAUUUGGGUAUACGGGGCGAAAGACUAAUC